This is a non-coding RNA of Potamilus streckersoni, 73 nucleotides long. The record is from the annotation of a GenBank genome assembly. NCBI's taxonomy places the organism in Eukaryota, Metazoa, Mollusca, Bivalvia, Unionida, Unionidae.
GCUCUGGUGGCCUAGUGGUUAGAGAGUCCACCUUGGAUGCAGGAGGUCAUGGGUUCGAGCCCUGGUUGAAUCA